CAAAAUUUUCUAUUCCGAGACAUAAUUAAUGAAUAUAGCAAGGCGUCUCAUCAGUGAUAUCUUACUUUAGUUGUGACUUCUAGGUGACGCCAAAGUUCUUCAUCAUGAUGCUUUAAGAGCAUGGACAGCCUUGUUAUAGUGUAACGUAUACCCACCACACUGUUAUCAAGUUGCUGACAGAAAUUAUCUCGAAACCCACUCAUCAAUUCAACAAAACAGAAAAAUGCAUCUGCUUCAGCAUACGCCUGCAACACUUAAAAUGCCAGCGUUAAGCAAAUAAGGGGGGACGAGGUGGUGUUCUAUCCAAAAGACAUCCAUUAGAAGUAGAAAAAUGUGAGUAUAAAUAAAACAAGGAAAAAAAAAGAAAUGGUACAUUAGCAAGAGCUACUCACUGCAUUUCCUUUAUCUGGGUCAUUUUUAAAGAUGUAGAAGAUAGGUGCCAAUAUCUCAUUCAUCCCUUGUACAUAUCUGAUGCCAGGAUUCAACUUUGCAAAGAUAGUCAACACGUUCUUCAAAGCAUCCUGAAGAUGCAAGACAUGUACAAAAUGACCGGGAAGACUAUUAAUAUGCACAUGUUUCAACCAAACGCUUUAAAUAGGCAAACCCAAAAUCCAACCUGAUUAGAUUUUGCUACCGCUGAAUCUCCAGAGAAAAAGUGCAUGUCUGGAUGCGUACGCAUCACAUCACGGUCGAUCUGUUCCAAGACUUCCGUGUCCUGAAAGUACCAGUUUAAAAUUAGGAAGGUCAUUUUGCAGCUUUAAAUUCAACAUGAAAAAAACAGUACUAAACCACGAAGAGAAAAUGAUAUUUCAUAGUGAUUAUGUGCAGUCACCAAAGAGUUAUGCUUUUACAACCAACCGUAAGUGACAAAAUCAUGACGAAAGAAACAAAAUUUUAGAAGUGCAUAAGUGUGUGAGCAUUUACAAACUAAUAUCUGAUCAUAAUUCAGCUAUAUUAUCCAUGAUACUAUAACUUUCAGGCUACAUUCAGAACUCAAUACUAAGGUAAUAACAUCUAAACUUGACUCACAAAAUUGAUAAUAUUUGAGGAUAAUGAUAUCUCAAGCUGAAAUCUAAAUACCUUGAAAAAGUUGUUCCAUAAGCUUGUUGUUCCAAGACUUAAGGGAUGAUCCUCAUGAGUUAUCUCUGACCUUGAGAGGGCACCAGGGCUUUCGACUUUCGGAUCAUUACUAUCGCCACUCUUUGAUUUCUCCAUCUUCCUUGUUACUUCAGACUAACUAGCCACAAAAAUAUAUAGAAACCGGGGUUAUCCUAAAUAGAAAAAUAAGAAAGUGACAUGAAAAAGGAAGAGCUAUCACCCAGAUAACGUAAGCAUCUCUAUAAUGACCGAUUCUUCAUUAUUAACUACUUUAUUUAUCAUUGUACCUCUAGGAGAUAUCAUAUGCACAAUGGCCCUAGAACAGUCUGCUUAGUCAAACACAUGACAUCUAUUUAGCUGUCAUGUCAACAUAUUAAACCAACAAAUACAAGCAUGUGGAUCAAAAAAUAAUAAAAAUGUAUGCUUUCCCAUUAAACAUCACCGAAUUCUACUUAAUGACAGUCAUCAUCAUCUAAUGACAGUGAAUUUCCAUCAACACGCCCUUAGCUAGUGGCAACAACCCCAUUAUGUCUACUUCAUCACUCGUUUGUGUGUGUUCGGUCAAUCUAGCUAGUUAUCAUUUUGUAAGAGUGCCAUCAGAAGUCACAAACCAUGAAACCAAUCACUGACUACAAUGAACUCGAGCAUCAAAUGGACUUACGGGGUUCAUAAGAAGCUCCUCUUUGAAUUGCUUGUACUGAGACCUUUUCUUAGCUAACUCAGAAGACCACAGUGAGCGAUCAGGUGAAAGAUAGCCCAGUAAAAGCUGUCAAAAUCCGGAUAAACAAUAUGAAGCUAAAACUGAGAGAAACAGUUAAAACUCAAAUCCAUUCCUUUAAGAUAUUCGUUUAGGUACCUUCCAGACGAGGGAGCGAAUGCCAGCAUCAUCAGGUAGACCUUGUGAAGCAGUUCUCCUCAAUUCCUUUAAGUCUAUCACCUUCUUAGAUAACUAUCACAAAGAGCAAUCAAAAUAAAAGAAUGUACAGAGAGAGAGAGAGAGAGAUAAUGAGUUUGUGUGUGUGUGUUUAAGGACUAACCUCAGCGACGACCUGCGUCUUCCGAGAAACAUCCUCAGCCGCGGGAGUUACGCUUCCAGGUCCAUCUACCCCGCUCCCAUUCUGCAAAUCGUUAAUCUCAGAUUUGGAAGGAGGACGAAUCGGAAGAGGCGGAGCUGGUGCGGCGGAAAUCGUGGAAGGAGGAGGACGCUCGACGAUCGGAGGAGAUGGAGCGACGGCGGUGGCGGCGGGAGGAGGGCGAUCGUCGGGGAUGGGAGAAGGAGAGGAGGACCAGAGGGAACUGUUGAGCCACUCAGGGACACCUUUCUUCGCCAUUGUUUUUGAGGAAAAAUGUUUGGAGUCUCUUCUUGCUUCUUGCUACUUCUCUCUCUCUCUCGGGGGAGAGGUUAAGACCAAAAGGAGUUCCGUGUACAGCUGGCUGGCUGGCUGGGCCACGCUCUCUUAAUGCGUCCUUUUCUUUUUUCUAAAAUCCCCCUAAAUAAUACAACCUACUGCCAAAAUUGCAUAAAUUGACAUCAUUUUCCUUAUUUUCCACACUAUAUUUUUAUCUUCUUGUUACUAAACAAACUAGUGAUCGAAUUUUCACAUUUUACUAAGUCUUAAACUUAUCAUCUUUCAUGAGAUCCGUUAAACCAUUAUAAGUUAAUUUUGAUCAUAAGAUGUUAUAUCAACAUCGUGUGUAAUGAGUUGAUUUUUUCAAAAAAAAAAAAAAAGGUAAUGAGAUGACAUUAUGUUAUGGUGGGGUGGACCAUAUGAUAAACGAAAUCUAUUAAUAAGGAAAUUAACUGAGUUGAAAUACAAGCAAAGAGAUGUUACAAUGUAUAAGAAAUUGCCAACAUCAGGAACUUGAAGUUUUCUGCGAACAAGGAAUCAACCAAGAAACCGAAUCAAGCCAUAGCUAUAAACGUACCGAUCCAUUUUCUUGAGUCUUCAACAAAAUGUUUUAGAAUUCUCCAAGAAGAAGAUAGUAAGCAGCAAUAAUAAAACACAGCAGAAAAGACGCGAAGAGAAGGAAGAUGUAACAGUAUGGGAAAAGGACGAUCAUAAUCAUUAACAAGAUUAGUGAAAUCGUUCCACAACUCAUGACUGCUCUUUGCUUUUGUUGGAAGAAAACCAGGAGUUUUUUUUCUUUUUGACUUUGAACAAAAUAUUUGUCACACAAUUACUUCUUCAAUACACAAUUACUUCUUCAAUUUUUUUUAAUUUAUGAUUCAGAUCAUUUACCAAAUCAAACCAAGAAAAGAAACUUCCGUGAAAUGAUCAAAGAAUAAAAAUAUAAGAUCUGACAUCCUAAAAACUCUCUAUCUAUAAUAUCUGUUACACAUAAUUACCAUCAGAAAUCUCAACACUGAAGCAAGGUUUGAUCUGAGAUAUUCUCAGGCAGCUAAAGUUAACUUACACAAUCAUGUACAUAUGAUGAAAGAAAGUUGCAGAGUCUAUGAAUUCAAAACAACAAGGAGAAAGGGACUGAAUGAUUGUUAAAACCUGACGAUCUUUAUUUAUUUUAUUUAGAGCGCAAUUUAUCUGCGACAUAGAGCAUAUGGCUGAUGUUUGUAGGAGGAUAGUUUUGAAGAAGUUUGAGGUUCGACGUGAAAUCACCAGCCAGCAGACGCCUUCGUACUAGUAUCAACAUUGCACAACAUACUCGUAGUAGCGUCUCCUGCAAAUUAAUGUUUCAUUUUCACUUGUUAGCCUUCUCUCUUACAAAACAGCAAGUGCAUGUAGAGCCAAUUUACGAUAAGAUGCAAAGAGAAUCUCUAUGACUAUACCACGUACAAAAGCCAUAUCGUUGUUAAUGUCUCCUAAUUCUUCCCUACAUACAUGCACGUUAUAUUGUCCUAAACUAAGCUGCUUAGAGGUAUUGAAAUGAAACCCUUAAUGACUCAAGUCACUCACAAGAAUGGAAUUCACUUAGGAAACUGAAUGGUAAUAAAUUGAAUACUACCUGUGGACCUUCGGGGUCGCUUAAGAGUGUGUCCCAGAUGUGAAGGCUUUCCACGAAGUUGAACUCUUGAGUCAAGAGGAGUGUGAUCCAUCUGAACGCAUAGAAUUGUGGGUUUAUCUGAAAAUUGACAAAUGGGGUAUCAACUAUCACAACGCUGAAACACUUCUAUAAAAUUACCGAAGCUCCAAAAAACGAAAAUUUUGAAAGCAAGGCGUCUCAUCAGUGAUAUCUUACUUUAGUUGUGACUUCUAGGUGACGCCAAAGUUCUUCAUCAUGAUGCUUUAAGAGCAUGGACAGCCUUGUUAUAGUGUAACGUAUACCCACCACACUGUUAUCAAGUUGCUGACAGAAAUUAUCUCGAAACCCACUCAUCA
This 4433-nucleotide long non-coding RNA is filed under the name Brassica napus (rape). Its description in RNAcentral is "long non-coding RNA (BNAP_LNC003452)". The record is from RNAcentral. Lineage: Eukaryota; Viridiplantae; Streptophyta; Magnoliopsida; Brassicales; Brassicaceae.